CCCGGAGGGGGGCGUCCCUCAGCCUGGAUUGCGAGAGGGUGCAGGCCAGGCCGAGGGACCCCACCAGUGCACA
Myotis davidii is the source of this 73-nucleotide non-coding RNA. Lineage: Eukaryota; Metazoa; Chordata; Mammalia; Chiroptera; Vespertilionidae. The record is from Rfam.